Molecule: ribosomal RNA, 507 nt
Filed under: uncultured bacterium
Lineage: Bacteria
Description: bacterial SSU rRNA
Rfam family: Bacterial small subunit ribosomal RNA
Source: RNAcentral
GAUGAACGCUAGCGACAGGCCUAACACAUGCAAGUCGAGGGGCAUCGGGGCGUAGCAGUACGCUGCCGGCGACCGGCGGAUGGGUGAGUAACGCGUAUGCAACCUGCCUUCAGCAGGGGGAUAGCCCGUUGAAAGACGGAUUAAUACCCCGUAACACAGGGGCUCCGCAUGGAGAUUAUUGUUAAAGGGAUACUUCCUUCGGGGGGUAUUCCGGCUGAAGAUGGGCAUGCGUUCCAUUAGGUAGUUGGUUGAGGUAACGGCUCACCAAGCCUACGAUGGAUAGGGGAACUGAGAGGUUGGUCCCCCACACUGGUACUGAGACACGGACCAGACUCCUACGGGAGGCAGCAGUGAGGAAUCUUGGUCAAUGGACGGAAGUCUGAACCAGCCAUGUCGCGUGAAGGAGGACGGCCCUAAGGGUUGUAAACUUCUUUUGUAGCGGAAUAAAGUAUUCCACGAGAUGGGAUAUUGCAAGUACGCUGCGAAUAAGGAUCGGCUAACUCCGUG